This 679-nucleotide ribosomal RNA is filed under the name uncultured Basidiomycota. RNAcentral describes it as "partial 18S ribosomal RNA". The stretch from base 156 to 309 matches the Rfam family "5.8S ribosomal RNA". Lineage: Eukaryota; Fungi; Basidiomycota. The record is from RNAcentral.
UUCCGUAGGUGAACCUGCGGAAGGAUCAUUAGUGAUUGCCUUAAUUGGCUUAUAACUAUAUCCACUUACACCUGUGAACUGUUCUACUACUUGACGCAAGUCGAGUAUUUUUACAAACAAUGUGUAAUGAACGUCGUUUUAUUAUAACAAAAUAAAACUUUCAACAACGGAUCUCUUGGCUCUCGCAUCGAUGAAGAACGCAGCGAAUUGCGAUAAGUAAUGUGAAUUGCAGAAUUCAGUGAAUCAUCGAAUCUUUGAACGCAGCUUGCGCUCUCUGGUAUUCCGGAGAGCAUGCCUGUUUCAGUGUCAUGAAAUCUCAACCACUAGGGUUUCCUAAUGGAUUGGAUUUGGGCGUCUGCGAUCUCUGAUCGCUCGCCUUAAAAGAGUUAGCAAGUUUGACAUUAAUGUCUGGUGUAAUAAGUUUCACUGGGUCCAUUGUGUUGAAGCGUGCUUCUAAUCGUCCGCAAGGACAAUUACUUUGACUCUGGCCUGAAAUCAGGUAGGACUACCCGCUGAACUUAAGCAUAUCAAUAAGCGGAGGAAAAGAAACUAACUAGGAUUCCCUUAGUAACGGCGAGUGAACCGGGAAAAGCUCAAAUUUGUAAUCUGGCUGUCUUCGAUAGUCCGAGUUGUAAUCUAUAGACGUGUUUUCCGUGCUGGACCGUGUACAAGUCUCCUG